CGUUUCCGAGUUAAUGGGUUUUAUUAAUUAAAAAGGGGUGAUUUUCCAGUUUUCAGACAUUAACACAAAAAUGUUUUCAGCAAUUCUCAUGAAACGUUGGUGUAUUGUUUAUAUAUAUUGACUGAAGCUCCCUUUGUUGCUAAUAAAAAAGUGACCUAAAAGAGUUUGAAUGUUCUGACUUUUUCUAAAUGACCAUUUAAUGAGGUGUGUGAAUUUUUCUUAAUAAAACUUUGAGGCAAAGUGGUAUAUAGGGUAGAAAAAUCAAAAGCACCAAUUAUAAGCAUGCAAUUCAUCAAGUACUUCAAACGAAUUUUGACACUCUAAAAGCAAUUUAUUCCACUAUUUUCAAAGGCCUUAUUUGAACAAUUUUUUAUCAGCUGAGGUUUUUGAUUGUACCAAGUGUACUAGUAAGUAGAAUACAUAGUUUAGUAGGGAAACAAUGGCUUGAAACGAAAUAAAUCUUUGUUUGUAAUGAGUUAUGUGCAGCUUCGGACCCAAGUACAUGGUUGGAACUUUCAUUGUACAAUGCAUUUGGUUCUGCUUUGAAAAGAAUCACAGAGCUGAGUCUAUGUACCAUAUUAUAUAAAAGGUUAAGUGGUUGUUAGGACCUAGUCCUUAAUUGAGAUCCUUGUCAGAUAUUCCUGGCCAUAUGUUUUCCUUUUUGUCAUAUUAAGAAUUGUUUUUAAUUUAAUAUGUUCGUACGGAAAACAAGGAACAUUAUUCUCAUACAAAAAAUUAAGAUAAUUCUAAAUACACAUUCAUAAAAAAAAUGGAAUUUAUUACAAAGGAUAAUCAUAAGAUAUGCUUGAAUUGUCCUGGACCUCACUUCUGUGAAGGGUAUAUGUUAAUGGAAUCCUUCUCUGAAUACGGGACAAACAUAUUAGUAGUGGUAGACCCCAAUGGCCAAUGAUCUUCAAUUUAUACCGAAUAUUGACUGUCAAAAAAAAAAUGCUAACAUUCCAAUUUUCAAUAACAGUUAACAGCAAAUACAUUAUCACAAUAACAGAUAACAAAAAAACUAAAAGCCCAAUAACAGCUAACAAAGAAUAAGACAAUAACAGCUAACAGCAAAUAUAUUUUCAAAAUAACAGAUAACAAAGAAUUAAAUUGCCCCAUAACAGCAUAACAGUUAAAAUCCUUGCCCCCCC
RNAcentral lists this long non-coding RNA (1148 nucleotides) under Mytilus galloprovincialis (Mediterranean mussel). The record is from RNAcentral. Lineage: Eukaryota; Metazoa; Mollusca; Bivalvia; Mytilida; Mytilidae.